This 274-nucleotide ribosomal RNA is filed under the name uncultured bacterium. RNAcentral describes it as "partial 16S ribosomal RNA". It matches the Rfam family "Bacterial small subunit ribosomal RNA", at positions 523 to 796 of the family's 1533-position model. The record is from RNAcentral.
CUACGGAGGGUGCAAGCGUUGUUCGGAAUCACUGGGCGUAAAGGGCGCGCAGGCGGUUUGGUAAGUCAGAUGUGAAAGCCCACGGCUCAACCGUGGAAGUGCAUUUGAAACUGCCAGACUUGAGUACCAGAGGGGAAAGUGGAAUUCCCGGUGUAGAGGUGAAAUUCGUAGAUAUCGGGAGGAAUACCGGUGGCGAAGGCGACUUUCUGGCUGGAUACUGACGCUGAGGCGCGAAAGCGUGGGGAGCAAACAGGAUUAGAAACCCCAGUAGUCC